This 400-nucleotide ribosomal RNA is filed under the name uncultured bacterium. RNAcentral describes it as "bacterial SSU rRNA". It matches the Rfam family "Bacterial small subunit ribosomal RNA", at positions 356 to 773 of the family's 1533-position model. The record is from RNAcentral.
GGGGAAUAUUGGACAAUGGGCGCAAGCCUGAUCCAGCCAUGCCGCGUGAGUGAUGAAGGCCCUAGGGUUGUAAAGCUCUUUCACCGGUGAAGAUAAUGACGGUAACCGGAGAAGAAGCCCCGGCUAACUUCGUGCCAGCAGCCGCGGUAAUACGAAGGGGGCUAGCGUUGUUCGGAAUUACUGGGCGUAAAGCGCACGUAGGCGGGUAUUUAAGUCAGGGGUGAAAUCCCAGAGCUCAACUCUGGAACUGCCUUUGAUACUGGGUACCUAGAGUAUGGAAGAGGUAAGUGGAAUUCCGAGUGUAGAGGUGAAAUUCGUAGAUAUUCGGAGGAACACCAGUGGCGAAGGCGGCUUACUGGUCCAUUACUGACGCUGAGGGGCGAAAGCGUGGGGAGCAAAC